UGAAAGAAGGCCGUUGCAAGAACUACAUCGGAGUCGUCCUUGAAUCUCAUGGGGAAUACAGAUGUGAUCUUAUCUGGCUGUUCAAAUAAAGGUAUCAAAGUGAGGCUUACCAUCUUGCAUUAAUAAGGGCAGGAUUUUGCUAUUCAAGAAGCAUAAUUAUUUGGGUUCCCCAUUGGAAGGGUUUAGUUCUUAGCUUCUCAGGGAUGAUGCCUUCCGUUAAAUUUGUUGGGGAUCAAGCAUGGAUUUUUCCUGGCCUCUUCUUGGCUAUUUUCAGAUUAAAAACCCUUCAUUUGAGCGAUAAUGUAUUACAUGAUCUGAUUAUUCAUUUUCUGAACAUUCGCAUAGCUCAGCCAAAUUAACUUGCAUAAUGGGUUCAGCACGGAUGUCGAACUCACAUGAAACUCGUGGAGCAUUUGUGAGUUGUUGGUUCUUUAGAUGGGGUCAGUUGCAGUAUUCUAGUCUCUUCUAUGUAUGUGAUGUUUGUUGUGAUAUUUGAUUCUACUCUUGGCUUUCAUGGAACAAUAUUUUUAAUUCAUUGCUUUUGGUGGUCAA
Non-coding RNA from Amborella trichopoda, 552 nucleotides. The record is from RefSeq and is a predicted model, not a curated record. Lineage: Eukaryota; Viridiplantae; Streptophyta; Magnoliopsida; Amborellales; Amborellaceae.